This 83-nucleotide transfer RNA is filed under the name Schizosaccharomyces japonicus. Its description in RNAcentral is "tRNA-Ser". It matches the Rfam family "tRNA". Rfam says of the family: Transfer RNA (tRNA) molecules are approximately 80 nucleotides in length. Lineage: Eukaryota; Fungi; Ascomycota; Schizosaccharomycetes; Schizosaccharomycetales; Schizosaccharomycetaceae. The record is from RNAcentral.
GAAAGAGUAUCUAAGUGGUCAAAAGAGUGAUAUUUGAGCUAUCAAGAAAUUCUUCUUCGUGGGUUCGAAUCCUACCUCUUUCG